This 539-nucleotide ribosomal RNA is filed under the name Lecidella elaeochroma. RNAcentral's name for it is "eukaryotic LSU rRNA". The stretch from base 226 to 379 matches the Rfam family "5.8S ribosomal RNA". Lineage: Eukaryota; Fungi; Ascomycota; Lecanoromycetes; Lecanorales; Lecanoraceae. The record is from RNAcentral.
AACCUGCGGAAGGAUCAUUAAUGAAUGAAGGGGUUUCGCGCCCGUGGUGGCUUCAUUCCCGCCUGACUCUUCACCCUGUGUUUACAUAUAUUUGUUGCUUUGGCGGGCCGUGAAAGCCUUUUCCCGCCACCCUUAACCUUCCGGCUGGGCCCGGCAAGCGCCCGUCAGUAGCCCAUCAAUAUCCUUUAUAUCAGUGAUGUCCGAGUAUCAAAAUAAAUAAAUAAAAACUUUCAACAACGGAUCUCUUGGUUCUGGCAUCGAUGAAGAACGCAGCGAAAUGCGAUAAGUAAUGUGAAUUGCAGAAUUCAGUGAAUCAUCGAAUCUUUGAACGCACAUUGCGCCCCUCGGUAUUCCGGGGGGCAUGCCUGUUCGAGCGUCAUUGCACCCCUCAAGCGUAGCUUGGUAUUGAGCCCUCGCCGCUCCGGCGGGCCCGAAAGUCAGUGGCGGUCCCGUGUGACUUCGAGCGUAGUAAACAAAUCUCCCGCUUUGGAGGCUCACGCGGCGACCGGCCAGAACGCCCAACUUUUCAAUGAUUGACC